AAUGAGAGUGAUGACCUUAUCCAAAAGACCUCGCAGAACUCCAUUAACUCUUUUUUGGCAGUGAGGACACUGAAAAGACUAGGAGCCAGGAAGCGGGCCCUUACCAAACACCUGAUCUGCUGAUGCCUUCAUCCUGGAUUCCCAAGCCUCCGGAACGGAGAAUCCGCAGUAAUGAGAGGUCACGUAUCUGGGCCCACAGUGUGCUGGCAGCUCGUCCUUCUAUACAGGCUCUCUCCCGUUCUUUGCUUCCACACACAGAAGUGUCUCCGCAUAUAACCCCAGGAAGUUUGGGGGCUCAGAUAUUCCCCAGAGCUGCCUUUUAAGGCAGUGGGGUUACAGCACAGAGGCUGGAUUCCAACAGCACGAGCACUUGAGAAGAUGUAUGUUACAAUUGCUGUUUAGCAUCUUUGUGCAUGAAUUAAUCUCACUAUCAGAAAAUGGGAAUUUAGGUAGCACUCACUGGAGGAGGUCAAAACUUUGAGCAACAGAAUUGUUUUACAUUUAAAAGCUUCUGAACAAGUCACACACUACCUGUAGUCUAUAAUCACAGCCACUCAGGGGAGCUCAUGGGAGUCAACACACUUCGAGAUCAAAUCCCCGUGCCCCUGGUGAUCCCAGAGUGGCUCUUUCUCCAAGGCAUCAGCAUGAUGUGGAGAACCCUGGACUCUCAGCUGGAGGUUGGGAUAUUGGGGUUCAGAAUUCUGGCUCUGCCGCUCAUCUGCCAGGUGACUCCCUGACGGCUGCUGCUUCCUUGUGCAUAGAAGGAGGGCAGGUGGGCCAGCCACAGAAUUGCUCCCCCUUCCAACAUUCUAGGAGAAUGAGCUAGCCUGGCAGGUCAUUCAGAAAUCUGGAAACAAUGUCAUGACUGUUCCAAUUAGUAUAUCCUUAGGGCACCUGUGUGGCUCAGUUGGGAAAGAGUCUGACUUCGGCUCGGGUCAUGGUCUCACGGUUCGUGGGUUCGAGCCCCGCAUCGGGCUCUGUGUGGACAGCUCAGAGCCGAGAGCCUGCUUCGGAUUCUGUAUCUCCCUUUCUCUGCCCCUCCCUGGCUCUCUCCUUCUCUCAAAACUAAACAGAAUAAAAAAAUUAGUAUGUCCUCGGUAACUCUGAGCAGGGGUCACAGACAUCAGGCCCUGGGUAGUGACGUCCCAGGGCUAUGGAAUUCCACUCAGCCGCAAAGUCCCCAGAGCCAUUCAGCAGUCACUCGUUUUGAAUGUGAAAUUCUUUCAUGGGUAACUUUAUUAUGUUGGUAGAUUAUCACUUUUAUUAAACUAAUGCUCUUUUAGAUCUA
Felis catus (domestic cat) is the source of this 1288-nucleotide long non-coding RNA. RefSeq lists it as uncharacterized. NCBI's taxonomy places the organism in Eukaryota, Metazoa, Chordata, Mammalia, Carnivora, Felidae. The record is from RefSeq and is a predicted model, not a curated record. The transcript is spliced from 2 exons.